This 264-nucleotide unclassified non-coding RNA is filed under the name plant metagenome. Its description in RNAcentral is "partial contains small subunit ribosomal RNA, internal transcribed spacer 1, and 5.8S ribosomal RNA". The record is from RNAcentral.
GUUUCCGUAGGUGAACCUGCGGAAGGAUCAUUAUUGUAUAACCGAGGUGCGAGGGCCGUCGCUGACCCGAAAGGUCGUGCACGCCCGAGUGCCCUCACACACAUCCAUCUCACCCCUAUGUGCACCACCGCGUGGGUCCCCCUUUGGCUUGUUCGGAGGGGGGCUUACGUUUUCACACAAACUUUGUAUGCAGUGUAGAAUGUAUUUUUUGUUUUUGCGAUCACGCAAUCAAUACAACUUUCAACAACGGAUCUCUUGGCUCUC